Molecule: ribosomal RNA, 376 nt
Filed under: Rhizobium leguminosarum
Lineage: Bacteria; Pseudomonadati; Pseudomonadota; Alphaproteobacteria; Hyphomicrobiales; Rhizobiaceae
Description: bacterial SSU rRNA
Rfam family: Bacterial small subunit ribosomal RNA
Source: RNAcentral
CUUCGGGAGAAAGAUUUAUCGGUCAAGGAUGAGCCCGCGUUGGAUUAGCUAGUUGGUGGGGUAAAGGCCUACCAAGGCGACGAUCCAUAGCUGGUCUGAGAGGAUGAUCAGCCACAUUGGGACUGAGACACGGCCCAAACUCCUACGGGAGGCAGCAGUGGGGAAUAUUGGACAAUGGGCGCAAGCCUGAUCCAGCCAUGCCGCGUGAGUGAUGAAGGCCCUAGGGUUGUAAAGCUCUUUCACCGGAGAAGAUAAUGACGGUAUCCGGAGAAGAAGCCCCGGCUAACUUCGUGCCAGCAGCCGCGGUAAUACGAAGGGGGCUAGCGUUGUUCGGAAUUACUGGGCGUAAAGCGCACGUAGGCGGAUCGAUCAGUCA